Molecule: non-coding RNA, 1289 nt
Organism: Schizosaccharomyces pombe (fission yeast)
Lineage: Eukaryota; Fungi; Ascomycota; Schizosaccharomycetes; Schizosaccharomycetales; Schizosaccharomycetaceae
Source: the annotation of a GenBank genome assembly
CUUGCUUUUUUUAAGUUUUUUUUUUAGAUUAAUAACAAUUACAUGACUUCGUUUUCAACGCUUUUUCUUGCUUUCACCACCCUUAUUUGAAUCUCUUUUCCUUUUUGCUGAUCCUUUGCUCUUUGUAUCUACAGGUUUUUUGGGAGAAGAAGGGACUGGUUUAAAAAAGGAAUCAAGACGACCCUGUGGAAUUGUCUUUGAGGCUUUUUCUAGUCUAUUGAUCCCCAAUUUAACACGAUCUUCAUUGAAACCUUUUUCCUUAACCAGAAAUUGUAUAAUGCCAUCUGCAUCGGGACUUUUCCAUUUCAACUCAAUCUCUUCACCAGGAAGUACUUCUGCAUCCAAAAACAGUCUUCUGGCAUCUUCAUAAGGCCAAUCUUCCGGAAUAGGAUAUUUUGAUCGAUCCGCCUCUUUGACAAAGCGAUCGAGAGUCCCGUAUUGCCUAAUUAACUCGACGGCUCUAGCGGGGCCAACUCCCCGAAUAGGUUCACAAUAGUCACAACCCAAAAGAAUACACAAGUCUACAAACUGCUCCACCGACAUAUCUAAACCAUUCAAUGCUUUUUCUAUGUUAUACUCACUAAUUGGUUCCUUUCUUUGCUCACUAAAUGUCAGGUGUCUCAAAAGUACAGGAGCUUGGAAGCACAAUGUGUCCAUGUCCUCAGAAGCAGCAGCAUAAACUUUUCCUGAACGGGCUAAAGCGGCACAUUGAGCUUCUGCUUCACAGGGUGCGUUAACGAAGGGAAUUCCCAUUAACUCUAGUAAACGUUUUGCUUCGUCAUUAUGUUGCCGAGUAACUUUGACCGUACGUUUGGCAAACCGAUCCACCAUUUCAGCUGUACCAACCUCUUUUGUCUCCUCUUGAUCCUCUCGUGCUUUUUGAUGUCGGGCCACACGUUUAGCUAAUUCCCCUGACUUCAAUGUUGGUGGUUUUCCAUCAAAGACAAAGCAAGGCUUUAUUCCAUUAUCGACAAUUCGGAGUGUACGAUAAAACAUUCCCAUUAAAUGACUAGUAGUCUCGCCUUGUUCAUUCAUUAGCUGUUGACCAUCUUGACUGCGAACUUGAAUUAAAAAUUGAUAAAGACUCAUUGACCUGUAAUAUACGAAAUUAGCAUUAAUAAAGUACCUCAAGAAGACUUUAUAAAUCAACCCUUCGAAAAGGAAAGAAUCAGUUGAAUAGAGUUUGACCUAUUAGUGUUUGCAACUUCAAGAACCAACAAAGUAAAGAAAUGAUGUAAAAUACCUUGAGCAAUGAAUUUAACCGAGUCACUGUUAGUGAAAAUUUAUUC